RNAcentral lists this non-coding RNA (89 nucleotides) under unclassified sequences. RNAcentral's name for it is "DUF1874 RNA". It matches the Rfam family "DUF1874 RNA". From Rfam's summary of the family: Hot springs metagenome only. Environment (Bison Hot Springs, Yellowstone) The record is from RNAcentral.
CCAAGACCAAGCUUGGGAGUGGUCAUCCAAGGUAAGAGGUGCCAAAGGCACCCGCCACUCCCGCUUCCAAAAGGGCUUGGUCUUGAGCG